RNAcentral lists this long non-coding RNA (1282 nucleotides) under Olea europaea subsp. europaea. Lineage: Eukaryota; Viridiplantae; Streptophyta; Magnoliopsida; Lamiales; Oleaceae. The record is from RNAcentral.
AUUCUUAUCUAAAUCUGAAAUUAAAACUCAAAGUAUUAAUGUUAAAGGAUUUUAUAUUUUGCAGUAUUUGUUCCCGUUUCUCUGCAUUCGCAUGCUUCAUCUGUACCACUGUUCAAUGAGCUCAAUUUCUCCGACUGAUGUGAACAAGUCCAGUUCAACUUAGGUGUUUUAGACUUAGACUUGGCACUUCAAGUUGAGAAACUCGCUGAUCUUACUGAUGAGAGCAGUGCUAAUGAAAAAUCUUUCCAUAAAGCUUGGGAAACGUCAAAUAGAUUAAGCUCAAUGUUUAUGCGGAUGACCUUAGCAAAGAAUAUCAAGUCUACUAUCCCUCAAACUGAGAAUGCUAAGGAAUAUAUGAAGUUUGUGGAAGCACGUUUCCAAACAGUUGACAAAUCAGAAUAUAUGAAGUUUGUGGAAGCACGUUUCCAAACAGUUGACAAAUCACUUGUUGGCACACUGAUGGGUACCUUGACCACCAUGAAAUUUGUUGGUUCUCAUACCAUGCAUGAGCAUGUUACUGAAAUGAGUAACAUUGCAGCAAGACUUAAAACUCUUGAGAUGACUGUGAAUGAAAACUUUAUGGUACAAUUUAUCAUCAACUCCUUGCCUCCUAAGUACGGUCCAUUCCAUAUGAACUAUAAUACCUUAAAGAAUAAAUGGAAUGUGAAUGAAUUACACAGUAUGCUCGUGUAAGAGGAGACAAGGCUUAAGAAUGAAGGAACUCAUUCUGUUCAUCUCGUAAAUCAUCAAGGAGCUGGAAAGAAAUAUAAGAAAAGAUCUGGAAAUGGCAUUAAGCAAGGACCACUAAAGAUAAAUGAGUCUUCUGCCCAAAUCUACAAUAAGGAACAUAAGAAGGAUACAUGUCAUUUCUUUCGCAAACCUGGGCACCAUAAAAAGAACUGCCUAAAACAUAAGGCAUGGUUCGAAAGUAAAGGUAAGAUUAUUUCUUAUGUAUGUUUCAAAUCUAAUUUGGCAGAAGUUCUUUAUAAUACUUGGUGGAUUGAUUCCGGAUGUACCACUCAUGUUACUAAUACGAUGCAGGGAUUCUUUUCAACCCAAAACAUAAAUCCAAAUGAAAAGUUUGUCCUCAUGGGAAAUCGAGUCAAAGCUCCAGUUGAAGCCAUUGGAACUUAUCGUUUGAUUUUAGAUACAGGACAUCAUUUAGAUUUAUUUUAGACUCUUUAUGUACCUUCUAUUUCUCGUAAUUUAGUUUCCUUAUCGAAACUUGAUUCUGUUGGAUAUUUUUUUGAUGGUGGAAAUGAAUGUUUAAAUUUGUUUAAAC